UGGGGAAUUUUCCGCAAUGGGCGCAAGCCUGACGGAGCAACGCCGCGUGAGGGAGGAAGGCCUGUGGGUUGUAAACCUCUUUUCUCUGGGAAGAUAAUGACGGUACCAGAGGAAUCAGCAUCGGCUAACUCCGUGCCAGCAGCCGCGGUAAGACGGAGGAUGCAAGCGUUAUCCGGAAUUAUUGGGCGUAAAGCGUCCGUAGGCGGUUUUAUAAGUCAACUGUUAAAGACCGGGGCUUAACCCUGGGAGUGCAGUUGAAACUGUGAGACUGGAGCGUGGUAGGGGUAGAGGGAAUUCCUAGUGUAGCGGUGAAAUGCGUAGAUAUUAGGAAGAACACCAGUGGCGAAGGCGCUCUACUGGGCCAUGACUGACGCUGAUGGACGAAAGCUAGGGGAGCGAAAGGGAUUAGAUACCCCCGUAGUCC
This 424-nucleotide ribosomal RNA is filed under the name uncultured prokaryote. RNAcentral's name for it is "bacterial SSU rRNA". It matches the Rfam family "Bacterial small subunit ribosomal RNA", at positions 355 to 796 of the family's 1533-position model. The record is from RNAcentral.